RNAcentral lists this ribosomal RNA (477 nucleotides) under Triticum aestivum (bread wheat). Its description in RNAcentral is "partial small subunit ribosomal RNA". Lineage: Eukaryota; Viridiplantae; Streptophyta; Magnoliopsida; Poales; Poaceae. The record is from RNAcentral.
CCUUCUGUUAUGUGUCUAUGCCUUUUGGGCUCAAGAGUGCACAGGCGACUUACCAGCGCUGUGUGCAGAAUUGUCUUCAUAACCAAAUUGGGCGCAAUGUUCAUGCCUAUGUGGAUGAUCGUGGUUAAAUCCAGGGAGAAGGAGACCCUGGUAGAUGAUCUUAGGGAAACCUUUGAUAAUCUCCGGGUUUACAAGAUGAUGCUUAACCCGACCAAGUGUGUUUUCGGUGUUCCCGCAGGCAAGCUCUUGGGUUUUCUGGUUUCUCAUAGAGGCAUUGAAGCUAACCCGGAAAAGAUCAAGGCAAUCACCUCUCUGGCUAAGCCGGUGUGCAUAAACGACGUCCAGCGUCUGGCGGGCCGCAUCGCUGCUUUGAGCCGGUUUAUAAGCCGUUUGGGUGAAAAGGCCAUGCCACUGUACCAGUUGAUGAAGAAAACAGAUGACUUUGUCUGGAAUGAUGCUGCUAAUGCUGCUUUUGAG